RNAcentral lists this ribosomal RNA (1200 nucleotides) under Weissella confusa. RNAcentral's name for it is "bacterial SSU rRNA". It matches the Rfam family "Bacterial small subunit ribosomal RNA", at positions 288 to 1477 of the family's 1533-position model. The record is from RNAcentral. Lineage: Bacteria; Bacillati; Bacillota; Bacilli; Lactobacillales; Lactobacillaceae.
CGGUUUAAGAACUUUUUUCGCCCCAAAGGGGGAUGGGAACCGCGCCCUUAUUUCUUAGGGGAGGCCGCCGGUGGGGAUUUCUCCACAAGGGGCGAAAGCCUGAUGGAACAACGCCGCGUUGUGAUGAAGGGUUUCGGCUCGUAAAACACUGUUGUAAGAGAAGAAUGACAUUGAGAGUAACUGUUCAAUGUGUGACGGUAUCUUACCAGAAAGGAACGGCUAAAUACGUGCCAGCAGCCGCGGUAAUACGUAUGUUCCAAGCGUUAUCCGGAUUUAUUGGGCGUAAAGCGAGCGCAGACGGUUAUUUAAGUCUGAAGUGAAAGCCCUCAGCUCAACUGAGGAAUUGCUUUGGAAACUGGAUGACUUGAGUGCAGUAGAGGAAAGUGGAACUCCAUGUGUAGCGGUGAAAUGCGUAGAUAUAUGGAAGAACACCAGUGGCGAAGGCGGCUUUCUGGACUGUAACUGACGUUGAGGCUCGAAAGUGUGGGUAGCAAACAGGAUUAGAUACCCUGGUAGUCCACACCGUAAACGAUGAGUGCUAGGUGUUUGAGGGUUUCCGCCCUUAAGUGCCGCAGCUAACGCAUUAAGCACUCCGCCUGGGGAGUACGACCGCAAGGUUGAAACUCAAAGGAAUUGACGGGGACCCGCACAAGCGGUGGAGCAUGUGGUUUAAUUCGAAGCAACGCGAAGAACCUUACCAGGUCUUGACAUCCCUUGACAACUCCAGAGAUGGAGCGUUCCCUUCGGGGACAAGGUGACAGGUGGUGCAUGGUUGUCGUCAGCUCGUGUCGUGAGAUGUUGGGUUAAGUCCCGCAACGAGCGCAACCCUUAUUACUAGUUGCCAGCAUUUAGUUGGGCACUCUAGUGAGACUGCCGGUGACAAACCGGAGGAAGGUGGGGAUGACGUCAAAUCAUCAUGCCCCUUAUGACCUGGGCUACACACGUGCUACAAUGGCGUAUACAACGAGUUGCCAACCCGCGAGGGUGAGCUAAUCUCUUAAAGUACGUCUCAGUUCGGAUUGUAGGCUGCAACUCGCCUACAUGAAGUCGGAAUCGCUAGUAAUCGCGGAUCAGCACGCCGCGGUGAAUACGUUCCCGGGUCUUGUACACACCGCCCGUCACACCAUGAGAGUUUGUAACACCCAAAGCCGGUGGGGUAACCUUCUUGAGCCAGCCGUCUAAAGCAACAAAAGUAUAACA